Peromyscus leucopus (white-footed mouse) is the source of this 828-nucleotide long non-coding RNA. RefSeq lists it as uncharacterized. The transcript has 3 exons. The record is from RefSeq and is a predicted model, not a curated record. Lineage: Eukaryota; Metazoa; Chordata; Mammalia; Rodentia; Cricetidae.
AAAGCCCAAGACAAAAGGAGACUGUAGGACGAUGCCAACAGAGACUUCUCUGACGGGCUUGUAGCAAAGAAUCAUUAUAAUGGAUUAUAUGUUCCUGAGUGGCGCUGCACCAUGAGACUUAAUGGCAGUGAGAUCCACUGGGCUGAACCUCUGCUGGUGUGUCUCACAAAACAGAAAGGCAGCCACUCCCUAUGGCUUGCUCCCACUAUCAUCUCACCAGUAGCAUUUACAGAUAAUGAAACAGAAGCAGACUGGAGAAGCAACUGAGACUGAGAUCACUACAGAAAACUACAACCAACUAAAAUGCACAGUUCCAACAGAUACAUCUGCAAUAGAGCUCCCACACCUAAGAUUCAGAGAAUGCUUUUGGAAGAGAGGGCAGAAAGAUUGUAACAGCCAGAGGAUCGGGGAGUUUGCUGUUCAGAUUGUGUCUCCCACUGUUGGAAGCUGCACUCAUAAAGUCUGGCCAACAUGACUUCCCAAAUGUGAACUGAACAAGGUGGUACCAAUGGACAUGACCAAGUAGAUGGGGAAAAGUCCAUGAGGCUUCAACCUUAGAAAAAAAAUGUAGGCAACUGGGUAAAGCUAACAACAGAAGAAGUGAUCUUCCCCAGGGAACUGGUUUUCUACUGCCAAAUGGUCAGCUCCCAAAACAAAUACGGGUAGUGUUAAAUAGACUUAGCAGCGUAUUAUUAGUAAUAUGAGUAUAUAUAGCACAUAUACAUAUGUGAGUAUACAUAUACACGCAAUAACAAUUAAUGAAAGUAGAGGCCAUGAAUUUGAAGAUGAGUAGGGAAGGGUAUAGUGGGAAGGAUUGGAGGGAGGAAA